Tachyglossus aculeatus (Australian echidna) is the source of this 139-nucleotide small nucleolar RNA. The record is from RefSeq and is a predicted model, not a curated record. NCBI's taxonomy places the organism in Eukaryota, Metazoa, Chordata, Mammalia, Monotremata, Tachyglossidae.
CCUCUCUCAGGAUCGCACCUGGAGAGUUUCCAGUACUCUACCAGUCUCAGCUACAGGAGGGAGGAGUCAAGCAGAGGCAUAACCAUUCCAUUCCUAGCUUGGGCAGUGCCUAGCAAGUGGAAGGCAAUCUGCUACAAGU